This 253-nucleotide ribosomal RNA is filed under the name uncultured bacterium. Its description in RNAcentral is "partial 16S ribosomal RNA". It matches the Rfam family "Bacterial small subunit ribosomal RNA", at positions 524 to 776 of the family's 1533-position model. The record is from RNAcentral.
UACAGAGGGUGCAAGCGUUAAUCGGAAUUACUGGGCGUAAAGCGAGCGUAGUCGGUUAUUUAAGUCGGGUGUGAAAGCCCUGGGCUCAACCUGGGAAUUGCAUUCGAUACUGGAUAGCUAGAGUUCGGCAGAGGGAAGCGGAAUUUCCGGUGUAGCGGUGAAAUGCGUAGAUAUCGGAAGGAACAUCAGUGGCGAAGGCAGCUCGCUGGGACGUUACUGACGCUGAGACGCGAAAGCGUGGGGAGCAAACAGG